UGCAUUCAAUUCAAGACCCUAUUAUGGUAUGUUCUUCCAAUUCUUAAAAACGAAAGGUUGCUACUUAGUUUCAUUUCAGCAGUAACAUCAAUUAGCUUUUUACAAAGGAGUAUUUACUGUAAAGAUAUAGCAAGAAGAGCAACACAAAAAUUUGGAUUGCAUGGACUUCAAUUCCCAUUCUUCUCCAGGCUCACUCUCCUGAUUGACCACCUUUAAUCUCUUUCAUUUAAAAGUAGGAAACAGCAGACAUAAGAGAGAGAAGCAACAACAAGAUCACGUGCCAAAAUAAGGCCCCUCCUCAUCGCAGAAGCCUACAGGAGCUAAUGUUCUUUGCUCAAAGUCACUUGAACCAGACCAAGAGACAUGCUUUAACUGGCUAGUGACUUUUAUUGACUCCUCCAUUUCAGCUCUAAAGCUUAGCCAAAAAGGCUUUGUUUCAUCCUUUAGUCAAUUGAACCAAAAACCAAUGAUAGGAUGUCCAUGUUCCAAAGUUCGUAUGGAGAACUGUACCAGUUGAGUUUGCUGAGAUUGCUUAUAAAAUUAGAUUCAUUGGCCAAUCUCUUCCAUAAUACUUAAAGAUAACUAUAUGCCUUCCCUCAGUCACAUCUCUAAGAAGAAAUGUUUACAUGGUCAUCUCCUUCAAUUAUAUAUCCUGAUCCCACAUCCCUCUCCAUUCCAAUUGCCCCCACUCCAAAUGCACUCCAGCUUAAUUUCCUUCCUGAGAUGUCACUGGACAGAAUAUUCUAAAUAUGGCCUGACCAAGUCAGAGGACAGCAGAGCUGUCACCUCCCUUGCUCUGGAUUCUUAUGAUUCUCUUAAUGUAAUUAAAGAUCCUAUUAGCAUUUGCAUUUCAUUUUCCCACUAUAGCUUACAUUAAGCAAACAACUAUCCCCUAAAAUCACCAGAAGGUGAAUAAGUGGACAGGUGCCUCGUUGAAAUGUGUGGGCACCAAUGUUUGCCCACUUGUUAACCUGUUUUCCUUUUCUAUAAAAACUUUGACAUUUGUUCCUUCUCAUGCAUGGCAUCAGUACAAGUUUGGAGUCAAUAGCUAAUUCAUAAUGGACUACAUAAAUCAAUCAAGGAGGUUCCAAUAAUAUGUCCCAGGCAAUUAAAAAAAAGGGUUCCUCCCCUGUAAUAAAAUAGAAAAGCAAACACAAUUGAGCAAGGUCCUUGGAAAUCCAGUUUAGUAGAGGAGAAUCUCAUCAGUCAAUGGAUGGAAAGCAGGCUCAAGCUGGGGGUGGUGUUGAUCCCUAGGAAGGAAAUACUCGAUAAAGAUCCCCAUGGUAAUUGUUAGUGUGCUUCACAGCUCACCCAGAGAGCAAGCAUAGCGUGACUAUUUCUUUGACUCAAGGUACAUUGUGCCAGGAAAGAGGCCAAGUCCUUAGAAUGUGUCUUUUGUUGUCUUUCAGGAAAGUCAUUGCCAAGAUCUGUGGUUUGGCUUACACAAGUGGUAGAAGCCUUUUUUUUUUUCUUUCAUUCUAUCAACAGAGGAGGCUAACUGAUAAUGGUGUAUCAUUAUUUAGCUCCUCCAGGCAGGGAUCUUGGAAAAAUCAAAUGAUUCUCUUUCUAUUCCAGGGCCUUAAAGAUAGAAGAUGUAUACCUAACCCUGUAUCAGCUCCAGCUGAUUAUAAGGAAAACUAGUACCAGACAAUGUUCUGUCCUGGACUUCUUCAGGUUCCUGUUGUAAUGGAGUUGGGGGUCUAAGAAAAAGGAUAUACAGAAGGAGAAGGGAACAGAUACUUACUGGGCACCCACUAUGUUCCAAGCACUAUGACCAACUAUCUAAUCCAUUCCAGGAAGAAGGCUAUUUGCUUGAUGCUUACAGAGGACAUUUCACUGCUAAAUGUGCAAAACACAUUCCAAUCUGCAGCUACUCAGAUUGUUUAGGAAGUACUUCCAUACUUCUCACCAGGACAUUACCAUUAUUACCAUAUUACAACCAUCAGUAUAACGGACAGCCCAGCCAUAUGUGGCACAUAGAGAACAGAAAACUUUUCCAUUCUCCUCAUGUGUGGAAACAGGAGGCCUAGGUGAGAUUUGGGUUCAAGGCUGGCCUCUGACAAAUAACAGCUACAUAGCCAACUCACUGCCAACUUAUAAGAAUGUAAAUUGAAAAAAGAAGUUACUUCUCUUCAUCAAGAGGGAAAAUUUCCUUACUAGGAGUCUUCUACAAUAGCAAGGCCUCUUAUAAAUGCAGAUUCUUUUUUAAUGUGUAAGACAAUGAGUGGGCUAAGAACUUUGAGGAAAACAAAAGAUUAAUAUGAAGAAACUAGCUAAUCCACAAACUACAAUACAAGAAUUUCUGAUAAGGACAAGAUGAAGCUGCCUAAUGGAAAUUCUUCAAGGCUCUGCAUUUGAAAUCUUGUGAAUCUAAGCAGAAGAAUCCUGUACUCAUAUCUAGAAUACAUAUGAAAACUCAAGUUUUUGUAUAACUCUGACUAAAUGACCACAAUGACAAUAACUACAAUCAGCAAUCUGUCACUCCUGUUGCAGGUGGAAAGCAACUGAGAAUAAGAAGGGUGGAAAAUUAUGAUUAAAUUGGCCCAAGAGGCCAACAGGUUCCAGUACUUCUCAGAAUAUCACAAAGGCAAGCUGCUUUAGGAGCUGUUAGAUGAUGCUAGUGUGAAUCAUGACCUCUGGUCUAAUGUGACUUGGAGAGACACCAACCAAAGACGGUUACUUGUCUAUCCACUUCUAGUGCCUACCUCCCAAAGUUAUUGAGAGGAUUAAAUGAGAUAAUAAUUUUAAAACAUAUAAAUGAGAUAAGAAUUAUAAAGCACAGUUCCAAACACAUUGUAGAUGCUUGAUGAAUGCUUGUUCCCCCAUAUUUUUCUUCCCCCAUUCUCAUAACUCAGGAAAUCAUAGGUUUUCACAGAAACCUGCAAUACCUGGGUUAGGAUGUAUACAGGUAAAAAUGUUGGUACAGCAGGUGUUUAUACAAACCACUGAUGGCAUGAGGUAGCCUGCUGGCUUCAGAUCAGAGAAAGUACUGAAUCUGGGUUUUUUUACACACACACACUCCCAUUUCCCUCCUCUCUAAUCUCCUCCUGUUCUAUCCCAAGAGACUCUUUGCAUCCUGGACCAAAUAGUUCUUCAGAAAGUUGGAUAGAGAGUGAGAAGGAGGAGGAGGAAGAGGAGAAGAGAAAGAAAUAGCUAUUUAUAUAGUUUGGGCUUUACAUACCUUCAGCUCCUUUCCCACUCAAGAGAGCCUCCUGGGGACUGGUAAUCCCGAAAUGGGCGGUAUGGUCAUGAAUGUGAAUAAUUCCAUCGCUCAUCAUGCUUUCCCCUAUCAUCUCUUCCCUUCAAUUAUAUGGAUGAUAAAGGAAAGAAAGUAGACACUUUUUAUAAGAUGCAGUGUACAAUGAUGGAAAGUGUUCUGGACUGAGAAGCUGGAAAGAUUUUUGUAUGAAGCAAGUCUCUGAUGCUUGCUAGUUUUGUGACUAUAGGCAAGUCAUUACAUCUCAAUGAGAAUAAUUAUACUUGUGGCACCUACUUGACAGGGUUAUUGUGAAGAUCAAGGAAGAUAAUGUAUAUAAAGAAACAGAUC
This is a long non-coding RNA of Sarcophilus harrisii (Tasmanian devil), 3547 nucleotides long. RefSeq lists it as uncharacterized. The record is from RefSeq and is a predicted model, not a curated record. Lineage: Eukaryota; Metazoa; Chordata; Mammalia; Dasyuromorphia; Dasyuridae. The transcript is spliced from 3 exons.